UGACAACCAGUGCUGGUCCACCUGAGCCUCACGCAGACACAGGCAGGGGCCCUGGCAGGGUGGGCAGCUGCACUUGGGCCAGCUUUCCGGGAUCUUCUGCAGCACUUUCAGGGCCAUAGUCAGGGACGCCAGAAGGUCCCACCGUACUGUCGACGUGGACACGGCUUCAGGAGGCUGAAAGGAAGACAUUCCAAACAAGCACACAGUGGAGCCAGAACCUGCAAGUCAGAGGAUAGAGGUGCUAUCUAUGGAUGAGAUCACGAAGACCAUGUCAGCCCAAGGAUGCUGAGAUGGACCAGAGCACCGGAACCCGUCUUGAGAUGGCCGGACCGGGGUCGUCCCUCCAUACUGUCCCUACCCGCCCUCACCAGGUUUCCUUUAAAAAAAAAAAAGAGCUGGGAGUGU
Molecule: long non-coding RNA, 405 nt
Organism: Sciurus carolinensis (gray squirrel)
Lineage: Eukaryota; Metazoa; Chordata; Mammalia; Rodentia; Sciuridae
Exons: 3
Source: RefSeq, a predicted model, not a curated record